UGCAGUCGAACGAUGAAGCCCAGCUUGCUGGGUGGAUUAGUGGCGAACGGGUGAGUAACACGUGAGUAACCUGCCCUUGACUCUGGGAUAAGCCUGGGAAACUGGGUCUAAUACUGGAUAUGACUUCUCACCGCAUGGUGGGGGGUGGAAAGAUUUAUUGGUCUUGGAUGGACUCGCGGCCUAUCAGCUUGUUGGUGAGGUAAUGGCUCACCAAGGCGACGACGGGUAGCCGGCCUGAGAGGGUGACCGGCCACACUGGGACUGAGACACGGCCCAGACUCCUACGGGAGGCAGCAGUGGGGAAUAUUGCACAAUGGGCGCAAGCCUGAUGCAGCGACGCCGCGUGAGGGAUGACGGCCUUCGGGUUGUAAACCUCUUUCAGUAGGGAAGAAGCGAAAGUGACGGUACCUGCAGAAGAAGCGCCGGCUAACUACGUGCCAGCAGCCGCGGUAAUACGUAGGGCGCGAGCGUUAUCCGGAAUUAUUGGGCGUAAAGAGCUCGUAGGCGGUUUGUCGCGUCUGCCGUGAAAGUCCGGGGCUUAACCCCGGAUCUGCGGUGGGUACGGGCAGACUAGAGUGCAGUAGGGGAGACUGGAAUUCCUGGUGUAGCGGUGAAAUGCGCAGAUAUCAGGAGGAACACCGAUGGCGAAGGCAGGUCUCUGGGCUGUAACUGACGCUGAGGAGCGAAAGCAUGAGGAGCGAACAGGAUUAGAUACCCUGGUAGUCCAUGCCGUAAACGUUGGGCACUAGGUGUGGGGGACAUUCCACGUUUUCCGCGCCGUAGCUAACGCAUUAAGUGCCCCGCCUGGGGAGUACGGCCGCAAGGCUAAAACUCAAAGGAAUUGACGGGGGCCCGCACAAGCGGCGGAGCAUGCGGAUUAAUUCGAUGCAACGCGAAGAACCUUACCAAGGCUUGACAUGUUCCUGACCGCCGUAGAGAUACGGUUUCCCCUUUGGGGCAGGUUCACAGGUGGUGCAUGGUUGUC
This 985-nucleotide ribosomal RNA is filed under the name Micrococcus terreus. RNAcentral describes it as "bacterial SSU rRNA". It matches the Rfam family "Bacterial small subunit ribosomal RNA", at positions 56 to 1053 of the family's 1533-position model. The record is from RNAcentral. Lineage: Bacteria; Bacillati; Actinomycetota; Actinomycetes; Micrococcales; Micrococcaceae.